GAACAGCAUUACGCGCGGCACUAAGAGUGGUUGAAGCUGUGAACUUCAAUGCGCCCGCCCAAGUGCCGUUCGAAACGGCAGCUUCUUAC
RNAcentral lists this transfer RNA (89 nucleotides) under Caballeronia calidae. RNAcentral describes it as "tRNA-His". The record is from RNAcentral. Lineage: Bacteria; Pseudomonadati; Pseudomonadota; Betaproteobacteria; Burkholderiales; Burkholderiaceae.